GCUCAGGGGAAGGCGGCGUGGGGGCCCGUCCGUCCCUCGUCGGCACCGAGCCGUCCUCCGGAGUCGCCGUUCGGACGGAAACCGGUUGGGAACGCCGUCGUUUCUGUCGCUGUGUGCGUUCGUCGAUUAAACGUUUCCCGUUCGUUUUUCGGCGCUUCUGCCCGCGGUCGUUUCUGCAGCUCCGGCUGCAGCUGCAAAAUGAAUCACCAGGCAUGUUAGCAGGGAAACAUGGUAAUGGAAUUUGCUCCUGAAGAGGAUGCUGACAGUAGACCUUGGUUGCCUCACUCAGGAUUUGUCUGAGCUGAUCUCUGCAAUUCUGUCAGGUGAAACGUAUUGGGUAUUCAAGGAGCCUUCCUUAGCCUCUCUGUGGAACCAAUUUACUUCUCUAGCAUCGUCUUGGAGAGUUUAUAUCAUGGGAAUCAUCUAUCCAGAGCCGUAUACCAGAGGAUAGCAGAGAUAGAAGAUCUACCACCUCUUUAUACACUCAACAGACCUUUACUUAGUGGCAAGUAUCUAAUGGAGAGAGCCGUACCGGUAACUAAGUCUGUUCCAGUACCAUUGUGAUUUUGCAGUUUUUCAAAACGUUGGAAAUAUGUCUUGUGAGUAAAUUGGUUUCUGGUUACAAAGCAGAAGAUACAGUGUAAACCUAGCAGGGAUACACAGACAGAGAUACCAUAGCAAGAACCCAUGGUGAGUUAAAAGAUGCCAAAAAAGCCAGGGUAUGAACUGAAGGCACUUUCACCUAAUUGCCAUCUGGAGUGUACCCUAGCAACAGGUGAGACAAGUUGAAAGCCCUGGCUUGAUGAAACCUCUUGUCAUCUAUGGAUAGUGCAUUAGCUCUCAUUUUCACUUCUCUUACAAUUGCAGGUAUUUAUUGAAUAGCUACGUCAUUUAUCAGUCUUCCAAGAUGAAAAUAUUUGGCUCACAAUCUUUAGGCCAAUACCCAACUGAAAGUGGAUGAAGAGACAAUCUCAGA
This is a long non-coding RNA of Lagopus leucura (white-tailed ptarmigan), 976 nucleotides long. RefSeq lists it as uncharacterized. The record is from RefSeq and is a predicted model, not a curated record. The transcript is spliced from 3 exons. Lineage: Eukaryota; Metazoa; Chordata; Aves; Galliformes; Phasianidae.